This 454-nucleotide ribosomal RNA is filed under the name uncultured organism. RNAcentral describes it as "partial 16S ribosomal RNA". It matches the Rfam family "Bacterial small subunit ribosomal RNA", at positions 330 to 800 of the family's 1533-position model. The record is from RNAcentral.
CGUACACUCCUGCGGGAGGCAGCAGUGGGGAAUAUUGGACAAUGGGCGCAAGCCUGAUCCAGCCAUGCCGCGUGAGUGAUGAAGGCCCUAGGGUUGUAAAGCUCUUUCACCGGUGAAGAUAAUGACGGUAACCGGAGAAGAAGCCCCGGCUAACUUCGUGCCAGCAGCCGCGGUAAUACGAAGGGGGCUAGCGUUGUUCGGAUUUACUGGGCGUAAAGCGCACGUAGGCGGACUAUUAAGUCAGGGGUGAAAUCCCGGGGCUCAACCCCGGAACUGCCUUUGAUACUGGUAGUCUUGAGUUCGAGAGAGGUGAGUGGAAUUCCGAGUGUAGAGGUGAAAUUCGUAGAUAUUCGGAGGAACACCAGUGGCGAAGGCGGCUCACUGGCGCGAUACUGACGCUGAGGUGCGAAAGCGUGGGGAGCAAACAGGAUUAGAUACCCCAGUAGUCCCAUGA